CUUUACUAUAACUUGGCCCUGAAACCCGAACGAAUCUGUGUAGCAUAGGUGGGAGACUUUGAUAUCUAGGCGCUAGCUUAGGUGGAGUCACCAUUGAAAUACCACCCUGAUUUUUUUGUGUUUCUAACCUAGUCCCGUUAUCCGGGACAGGGACACGGUCUGGUGGGUAGUUUGACUGGGGCGGUCGCCUCCCAAAUUGUAACGGAGGCGCACAAAGGUUCCCUCAGCCUGGACGGAAAUCAGGCGUAGAGUGUAUAGGCACAAGGGAGCUUGACUGUGACACUAACAAGUGGAGCAGGUGCGAAAGCAGGUCUAAGUGAUCCGGUGGUACCGCAUGGAAGGGCCAUCGCUCAACGGAUAAAAGGUA
This 367-nucleotide ribosomal RNA is filed under the name uncultured organism. RNAcentral's name for it is "bacterial LSU rRNA". It matches the Rfam family "Bacterial large subunit ribosomal RNA", at positions 2099 to 2465 of the family's 2925-position model. The record is from RNAcentral.